Oscillochloris trichoides is the source of this 24-nucleotide non-coding RNA. The record is from Rfam. Lineage: Bacteria; Bacillati; Chloroflexota; Chloroflexia; Chloroflexales; Oscillochloridaceae.
GGCGAAGGCCGCCUGCGCGGCCUA